UUUUCUGGUGUGUUUACUGAAAUAGAAACACCUCAUACCAUCCCGACCUGAUCGGUGAAACAUUUCAGCGGCUAUGAUACUGCAAGCGGGGGCUUGUGGGAAAGCAGCCGCAUGCCAGAAU
RNAcentral lists this ribosomal RNA (121 nucleotides) under Pleurastrum terricola. The record is from RNAcentral. Lineage: Eukaryota; Viridiplantae; Chlorophyta; Chlorophyceae; Chlamydomonadales; Pleurastraceae.